GGAUCGAGUUAUUAUUACAUAAGUGGCCUGGACUUCUAUCCUGGCGAGCAGUUCAGGGUGUAGUGAGGAUAAAGCGGUACAGAAAAUGGAUGCCUGGAUGAAAAAAGAUGGUCACGUUCUCCAUCGAAAGCCGACGCUUGUGAUUGGCUCUCUCUGGUCAUGUGCCACCUCAAAGCGCCACGUUUAGUGCAAUCUAUUAGUUUUUCUGAGAUUUUGAAAAGGUUGUACUCAUCGUUACACUUUUGAACAUAUAAAAGAACAUUGACUUUUGAACAGUCAUCUUUAUAAUUCUGGACUUUUUUUCUUUUAAAUAUUCACUUAUCUGGAUUGUCAUUUGA
Molecule: long non-coding RNA, 338 nt
Organism: Phycodurus eques (leafy seadragon)
Lineage: Eukaryota; Metazoa; Chordata; Actinopteri; Syngnathiformes; Syngnathidae
Exons: 3
Source: RefSeq, a predicted model, not a curated record